UACGUAGGGUGCGAGCGUUGUCCGGAAUUAUUGGGCGUAAAGGGCUCGUAGGCGGUUUGUCGCGUCGGGAGUGAAAACACCGGGCUUAACUCGGUGCUUGCUUUCGAUACGGGCAGACUAGAGGUAUGCAGGGGAGAACGGAAUUCCUGGUGUAGCGGUGAAAUGCGCAGAUAUCAGGAGGAACACCGGUGGCGAAGGCGGGUCUCUGGGAAGUAACUGACGCUGAGGAGCGAAAGCGUGGGGAGCGAACAGG
Molecule: ribosomal RNA, 253 nt
Filed under: uncultured bacterium
Lineage: Bacteria
Description: partial 16S ribosomal RNA
Rfam family: Bacterial small subunit ribosomal RNA
Source: RNAcentral